Long non-coding RNA from Solanum lycopersicum (tomato), 1266 nucleotides. RefSeq lists it as uncharacterized. Lineage: Eukaryota; Viridiplantae; Streptophyta; Magnoliopsida; Solanales; Solanaceae. The record is from RefSeq and is a predicted model, not a curated record.
GUAUAUAUUAGUAAAAAAAAAGAAUUGUAAUUGAACUAGGAAUUGUAAUGCUAUUCAAUUUCAUAUUCCUAUAUAUGGUUUAUUGCCCAAACCAAAAAGAAAUUAUAAUUCAACUAGAAAUUGUAAUCCUACUCAUUUUCAUAUUCAUAUAUAUGUUUUAUUGGCCAAGCCAAAAAGAAAUUCUAAUUGAACUGGGAGAAGGAUUCUAUCCCACCACAUGACAUCUAUAAAUAGAUGCAUUGUCUCCAUAAUUUUAUCUUCAAUCAUGGAUUGUGAGCCUACGACGAAAAGGGCAUACUCAAGGUAAUUUUCCUCCUUUUUUUUUUUUAUUUUUAUAGCUUGACAUGUCUGUCGUAGAAAAUUCAUAUCUCAUUGUAGAUUAAUCAAAAUCAUGAACCGUUUGAUUUUUCAGAAACUAGAUUUUUCGAUCUCUAACAUACCCGAAAUUCAAAAUUUAAUACCUUCAGAAUCUUUCUAAAUGAUUUUUUGAAGUAAGCUCUAGAUUCUGUCAUGCUAAAAAUUCGUCACUUUUUUUUACUGCCUGACAUGUUUGUCGUAAAAAAUUCAUAUCUCAUUGUAGAAAAAUCCAAAUCAUGAACCGCUUGAUUUUUCAGAAACUAGGCUUUUCGAUCUCUAACAUGUCCAAAAUUUAAAAUUUAAUACCUUCAGAAUCUUUCUAGAUGAUUUUUUUUAAAGUCCGCUCUAGAUUCUGCCAUGCUAAAAAUUUUCAGAUUUGUGUGACUUACUAAAAAAAUCUCGUGUCUUGACGUAGGAACAAUGAAAUCACAAUCCACUUGAUGAUUCCAAAUCUAGACAUAAAUGUCUACAACACAUCCAAGAUUCAAGAUUUAAUACCUUCCGAGUCUCAAACAUCUUGACGGAAAGGAAUCAUAGUGAACUUGACAGGAGACGACAAAAAAGUGGCUAAGCAACAAACUCGGAAAUGGGGUCAUAAUCAUGGAUCACAACUUUUAUUACGCUGAGAGAUUCAAACAAGCAAAUGAAUAUAGUAAAAAACCAUGGAACAGAGCGAAGGCAAAUUUGAAGCACAAUUAUUUUAGUAGUCCUUGGGUAGGAGCUUCAACAGUCGCAGCCAUCAUACUCCUCAUACUCACAACUAUACAAACUAUUCUGGCUUUCACAGGUCCUCUUAACAAGUAAUUAUCUCAAUUCUAGUGUUUCCUCAUAACUCCAUCCAUGUAUUUUAUAUGUGUGUUGAUGAUCUUAUUAUGAGUUAAUUAAUUUUAUGUCCCCCUUUUGUAUUGA